RNAcentral lists this ribosomal RNA (279 nucleotides) under uncultured bacterium. RNAcentral's name for it is "partial 16S ribosomal RNA". It matches the Rfam family "Bacterial small subunit ribosomal RNA", at positions 506 to 784 of the family's 1533-position model. The record is from RNAcentral.
UGCCAGCUGCCGCGGUAAUACGGAGGGUGCAAGCGUUGUUCGGAAUUAUUGGGCGUAAAGCGCGUGUAGGCGGUUCGUUAAGUCUGAUGUGAAAGCCCGGGGCUCAACCCCGGAAGUGCAUUGGAAACUGGCGAACUUGAGUACGGGAGAGGAAAGUGGAAUUCCGAGUGUAGCGGUAAAAUGCGUAAAUAUAUGGAGGAACACCAGUGGCGAAGGCGGCUUACUGGGUCACAACUGACGCUGAGGCACGAAAGCGUGGGGAGCAAACAGGAUUAGAUA